GAGAUCUCUUCAUUCAUACAUUCAGGUACCUGAAUCUCUCAUGAGAUUUUAUGAAGCGUUAUCUCAUGUGAUCUUCUAGAGCACUUGCCUCCUUAUUGUGAUCACUUUGAUCAUUUGAUCAUCUUCUUUACUAAGAAGUUCUUUGAAACCGAUUUGUCUAUACACUUUAAGCGUAUCAAAGACUUUGUCCUUCUAGGACUUAAU
Molecule: long non-coding RNA, 204 nt
Filed under: Nicotiana benthamiana
Lineage: Eukaryota; Viridiplantae; Streptophyta; Magnoliopsida; Solanales; Solanaceae
Description: long non-coding RNA (NBEN_LNC000155)
Source: RNAcentral